GAGGUUUCUUGGGUUCUCCCUGGGGGUCCUGCUGUUGGUCCCCAGAAAAUAUAAAAUAGGGGAUCAAAGACAGAAAGGAGCCAUGGGGCAUUCUGGAAAUGUUGUCAGGGUACCCGGGCACUGAGCUGCUUCUUCCAAUGACCAUUUCUUGUUGGCACUUUGACCAUCUGCCGUGGUUUCCAGCCCUAUAGGGGCAACCUUACACAUAGCUGAUAUGGUCUCUUGGUUAUAGUGCACCCCAGUGACCAGACAUCAUGAAGUCAAUACCGGUCUAGCUUUUGUUCAAGUCCCAGGCCACCACCUGGCCCCUGACUGUCCUGUGUCUUUUCAGGUCUUUCUCCUGGAUGUUUGUCAGUUUUAUUCUUCUGACUUCGACCUUCGGCAGGAGCCAGCCAACACGGAAAAGCACACAAAGGAUCCACACCAUCCUUGGAAACAACAAACCAGAAUCUUUCCGCCAGCCUCCUGCUCAGAGAACCCUGGCUCUCACCUUUUUUCCUUGCAUAAACCUUCACAACCCUUCUAAGCGGCAUUUUCUGUUUCUCAGGGGCUAUUUACCUUGGUUUGCUCCAUGCUCCCCUGCACCGAUUCCAACCAGAGUGGCCACUAUUUUCCUACGAUUCAGGAUAUCAACGUUGACUGUAUGUUUGUCUGACUUCCUCUGGUCCUAGAAUGAGCCGGGUUUCUUGUGAAUGCAGCUUCAAUUUGAUGAGCAUGUUGACACAUCACCUCUAAGGACUGGUGUUCCUUUUCAGUCCUGCUCAUAGAUUCCUUACAUGCCAACGGGGCAUGCGACAGUGGCUCUCAGAGCUGCCGACUUGGUAUUGGACUGUUCAUUUUUAAAGGCUGUUUUCUCUCAGAAGGUGGUUUUUUUUUUUUUUUUUUUUUUUUUUUUUUGAUGUCAACAUAAAUAGCGUUUGACAUUUCACAGUAGCGUUAGCAAUAACCACCCAGUGGAGGGUGGGCAGGAGAGGCAGCUGGACGUGUGGAGGAGGCCUGGUUUUGUGGGAUCCCAUGGUUAUUACUCUUAGUGGAAUAAGGAUUGUGGGAGCAAUCACCUCAUCUUUGGCUCCAUUUAGCGUCCAACAGGGAAGAUGUGAUCGAUCACCUCACGGGCCACAGAAGACUCUCCAGCACUGGGGAUGACUACAGUGCAUUCCCUGGAGGUGGUCUGACAGGAGUGUCUACCACGCGCCAAUCUACCUAGUGUGACCCAGUGACCUGCUCUAUUGCCGCUCGCUGCCAUAGGUGGGCUGUGCCUAUGUUCGUCACUGUAAACCAAGGGGAAAUCCUGGCAACUCUACCCAGCUCUCUGACAGCGGAAGUAGAUAAUUUGAUCAAAGCAAAGAGGGUCCCAGGUCUGCCUCAGCCGAGGCCCUUUAUUUACAGGCAGCUGGCGUCUCGCUCCCACCUCUGGAUGAGGCAGAAAAAUACCACAAUGAACGCACAUUUAUAUGCGUUGCCUGGAGUGUGGAAAAUCAGGAGAGAGACUUUCAGAGAGUAAGAACUUACACAUUAUGCCUCUGCAGUCACUUCAGGCUAUUUGGCUAAAACUCCUUCUGUGUAUAGGGAUAUAGGUUGGAUUUAACCCCAAAGUAAAUCUUUUACAUCCAAAAUUAAACACCGUGUAGGGCGGAAGAAUUUUUUUUUCGGAGAUUUUUAUACUCUGUAAUUUCUUGAAGGAGUUUCAUGCCUUAUUUUUUUUAGUCACUUCAAAACGUAUCGCAAGCUUAUGAAUUCUACCUUGGAUCUCCCAUUCCACCAUCUGGGACACGAACAGGACUGGAGGAGCCCCAGCGUGACAUUUCUGGGUAUUUUCUAAGUUGUUUUUUGUUGUUCACUUGGUGAGAUAUGGAGAGAGCAUAUGUAGGGUAGUGACUCAUCUCCAGGGAAGAUUUCUGGGGAUGCGAUGCCUUCAGUUUGUAGUUUCCCAGUUGUAACCUGCUGAAGCUUUCGCAGAGGAGACCGUCUUUGUUCUGUUUCAGACUUUCAGAUGAGUGACCCAAGAGCAGCUUUCUGAGCCCAAGUUCCCCUCUCAUUUUGGCUUUGUGUCACUCUCACUGUACCCCCCCCCAAUAUCCCUGGGCCUUACUCAUUAGUAUAUCACCCCAUUCAGGUAGCGGGGGAGCGACAGUCAGCUGAACACAACUCUCAGUUAGCACUGAGGCAUUAGGGUGUGUCCAAGUGAUUGGAUGUUAUUAAGUCCGGAAGAACGUGUCAAUGAAUAGACGGCCACAUGUGUCUUAGUGAUGGCAAAGGUUAAUUCAGGCAGCAUAAGCUGUUGAUGACAAGGACUAACUUUGUAGGAGAUUAAGGCCAGGGAUAUGUGCUACAGGCUUUGAUGUACAGGCAUCAUUCAGAAACCAGCCUUAAUUUACUAAAUGGUAAGGGAUCCGUGUACCCUUGCUUUAGAGAGUCCAUCCUUUAUGUUUGGCUUCAAAGCACCAAAGACAGGAAAUGUGUUUGAGAUGUAGAUUUCUUUCACAACAAAAUGAUAAUGUGAGAAGCUUGCACUUCUUCUUAGAUUGCAAUCGUAAGCAUUUAUUUUAGACUCAUAGCAUGGAAAACGGUGAAGUGUGAGAAACUGUCUUGUUUAGUUUAAGACUUUUUACACAGAUUUAUGUAGAGGUAUAUGUGCAUGUGUGCAUGUGUGUAUGAGUGUGCACAUACAUGUGUAUAUGUGCAUGUGUAUUUACUUGCCUAUGUGGGUGUAUGUGUGUGUUAGUGUAGAGAACAACUUGCAGAAGUUGAUUUUUUUAUUAAGUGGGUUCUAGGAAUCGAACGUGGUUGGCAGUAUUGACAGCAAGAAUCUGCUGGGUCUUCUGAGAGGCCCUGGUUUAACUGCAAUCCAUUACAAUGCUUGUGUUGGUAAAGUUUGUUGUCAACUUGACACAAGCUUGAGUCAUCUGUAAAAGGGAGUCUCAGUUGAAGGCUGGCUUGUGCGCAGGUCUAUGGAAUAUUUUCCCCAAUUAAUGACUGAUGUGGGAGGAGUCAGCCUGCUGUGGGCAGUGUCAUCCAUGGAAGAGUCAUGGAGAGAAUAAGAAGGCAGGCUGAACAAGCCACAGGGAGCAAGACAAUUAGUAGCAUCCUCCAUGGCCUCUGUGUCAGCUCCUGCUUUGAAUCUUUGUCCUGAUUUCCCUCCUUAAUGGUCUAUGACAUACAAGUGUAAUCCAAAUAAACCCUUUUCUCUCUGUGUUGCUUUUGGUCAGAAUGUUUUAUCACAGUGGUAGAAAGAAAACUAGGACAAUGUUCUUUGUCAGAAGUGUUGAUGCUACGUGGUUCAAGAAAAGACUCCAGGAUGGACGCAAACAUACACUGUAAUCCUAGUUUCAAAAAUCUAUCUUCAAUGGCAGGCUGAGUCAUAUGAAGUGGCUAUUUUGUACGUUGAAAUUAUUUGAAAUCAGCAAUUCUACAUGGUUCAAAAUGCCAAUGGCACAGGCUCAAUGGACAAGAGAAACUACAUAUGAAAUAUAUAUGGGUACGCAGAUAUGUGCAUAUGUGCAUGUGCACACACGUGGGAUUGGGUGACACAGAGACUGACACAGAGAGAGAGAGGGGAGGGGAGAAGGAAGGAGGGAGGGAGAGAGAGACUUAGUAAGCAUUCUUAAUGGUAACUAUGGGAAUAGGAUUUUAUCUUUUCCUCAUCUCUAUCUCUAGAGUGAGUGCUCCUCCCUUUCCCCUUUGAGUGCUGUACAAGUUCAGCCUUUCACAGUGAGGAGGAGCCUGCAGUGAGAGCGCACUUACACGAUGAUCUCUUAGUCACUUUAAGGACAUCGGGGCUCUGGUUUCCAGAGCCCUUUAGAAAUACCCAGAUUUGGAGAGAAGUGGGCCGGUUUCCUUUCCUUUCUGGCUAAAGUCUACCUUGUGCACACAAGGAUGGGGUACAAGUAGGCAUCCAAACCUAUCUGUGAAUGGUUUCCAAACUGAAUGCACGGGGGAGAGAUAACUAAUCGUUGCUUACCGACAUUCUGCAAUGCUGCCGAUUUCCCCUUAGUGAAACCGAUAGGCUUGUUCUCCGAAAAGCAGAUGGCUGGAUUAGAUAGCCAUAGGACAGGAAGGAGUAAAGAAGGAAAAUGAAAAAGCUGCUGGUUUGUUGAGAAGCACCUUCCUAAUUCUCCUGAAUGGGCACUUAGACUCUUGGGUAAAUGCCACACUUUGUAUAUUGUUAAGGAAAUAAAUCUAAAAGUUUAUUGUAUUUGAGUCCAUAGAUGGUCCAGAAUUUCCUAACGCACGUGUAUAAGGUUUUAUGUAUAUAUGUAUGUAUGUAUGUAUGUAUGUAUGUAUGUAUGUAUAUGUGUGUGUGUGUAUAUCAAAGAACGGAAGCAAGCUGAUUGGCUUCAGUUAGCAUUUGCCUCAUAUGGCCAUGGAGGGAUCUCUUAGCAGUUUGUGAUUGGAUGCGUAUCAAUUCACAAUGAUUGGCAGGGGCUCAACUCUGCACAAGAAUGUACUCUUCAGUUAGGCUGCAAUUUGCUCAUGGACUUAAUUAGGUUACAGCUUACUACAGACAGAGGUGGUUUCGGGUCCAAUUUUAGUACCCAAGUACCAAACUUUUCAACCUGAUAUGAAUUCCCGAAGGCCUUUUGGGCCCUUUCCUCCACAGGUUUCUGAU
Molecule: long non-coding RNA, 4609 nt
Filed under: Rattus norvegicus (Norway rat)
Lineage: Eukaryota; Metazoa; Chordata; Mammalia; Rodentia; Muridae
Description: long non-coding RNA NONRATT033311
Source: RNAcentral